GACAACGACGAAGAAGAAGAAAUGGCGGAGGCGAUCGCAGACGCCGCCAUUUUUAUUUUCCUUUUAGUGGGAUUGCUGUGUAAAUUCGAUGGAUUUGGGAUUUUGAGGUGGAAUUAUUAUUCGAGCAAAGCAUUGCCAAGGAAGCAGAGGAAUCAGAUUUGGGCCAAUAGAAGUUGGAGAGGCUUAUCUCUUCAUUCUCCAGGAUGGGGCCACUACAGAGCCUUGAAAUAACUGUAGCCAUGAAAAAGCAUUUCUCGAACUACAUGCAAUUCCUUGAUGACAUCUCCAAUCAGCAUUCGCUCGGCGGGGAAUUGCUUUGAACACAUGAGGCCGACUCUAAGCAAUGAAACUAUGCACUGAAAUGCUUUUCCGCCAGUUGAUUCCU
This is a long non-coding RNA of Ananas comosus (pineapple), 385 nucleotides long. RefSeq lists it as uncharacterized. Lineage: Eukaryota; Viridiplantae; Streptophyta; Magnoliopsida; Poales; Bromeliaceae. The record is from RefSeq and is a predicted model, not a curated record. The transcript has 3 exons.